Molecule: long non-coding RNA, 1715 nt
Filed under: Numida meleagris (helmeted guineafowl)
Lineage: Eukaryota; Metazoa; Chordata; Aves; Galliformes; Numididae
Description: lncRNA (ENSNMEG00000011025.1)
Source: RNAcentral
UCUGGUGUGAUACAAGGGCAGAGUAUAGCCUUGCUUCUCCAAAGCACCAGAGAAGAACUGGCCAUGUGGAUGCAACCAUUUGUCACUGGGGAAUACUUCCCUUGUAAACAGAUCCAAUAAACUCAGGAGCAUCUUUUGCCACCCUCAGUGAUAAGGCUUUGACAACAAUUACCUUAAAAUAUGAAGGCUCUGAGAGAUGUUCUAUGUUAGUUGAUGUCAGGCUUGGUUCUGAUUCCUUAAUGCAGGGUAAUGCAUUUAACUGGAUAAAAUCAAAUUAGGUGGCUAAGAGGUAACUUGAGGAGAUAUAUCUCGGGAGCACAAGUUGCCAGGCAGAAUCCAGUUGGGUUUCUAGGGCUGAAUUAAUCUCCAAACAUGGCCUAAGACUGCAAGCAGGACCCAAGAGCAGCUGACAUCUCUGUGCCUGCAAAGCAGCACGUGCACAGAUACUGGCUGCUAAUGAAUGCGUUCUUUUCCAGGAUCCUCCUACAGGCAGCGGGCAGAGAAGCAUUGUGCUGACCCUCCUACCUGACCCUGUCUCAUCAGUCCUGCAACGUGUGCAAGGAGUCGUGUCAGUCUGCAGAUCCCACCCAGUGUUGCCCAGUGAUUGCAUCCUGUACCGCCAAGCAUCGAGCCUUUGGAAUGGAGGUGGGACAUCCAGCAGAACAGCAGGGGAAGGGGCAGCUCAGGGAGCUGUGGAAGCACCGGCAGCAGCGGCUGCCGCUCACAGAGCCCCUGUGAUGCAGAUUUCCUGUUUGAAGCACGGACACAGCUGUGGUGCUGCUCACGGUUACCAGAUAGAGAUCACUUUUAAUGGUGGCAGAGUGAAGCAACACCGCAUGAAUUAAGGUGGUUACACAGAGACCGGGUUUUCUAUUGGCAUCAGCAGAGGUCGAGUUCUCCUGAUCUGGAAGGCGUCCAGAGAGCGCUUUUUGGCACGGGGACCCCGAUAGCUCAUUUCCCAAGCAAACCCCUGGUUGGGGCUGGGACUCUCUUGCCCUGGAUUCUCCCUGGGCACAGACAGGAAGACACAGACGGGGUCUGCUUCUGAGAACGCCCACGCAUGAAAAAGUCAUUCUGGAACUGCAGGGUAAUUCCGGCUCUGGCUGAGAACUGCUCGCAUCACGACUAUCUUUGCAUUCUCAGCGACUCGUCCCAUACGUCUGCUGCAUAGAUUCUCGUAGCAUUUCCUUUUUUCUGAGAUAUCUGUAUACUCCUUUCUGUGCUGUGAUAUUCAGCACGUACUUUCCCAUAACUCUCCCCUGGCUGUGUCUGCGCUGCAGCGCGUUGCCCCGUUGGGAACAGGCAUUUGGCUGCUCCGUGAAGCCCCUGCCAGCUCCUGCUGCAAGCUCUGGUGCCUGGGCCCCCCCCCCCCCCUGCUCACAGAGCCCUCGCUGUCCUGCACCUCUCUUCGUGCCCCCUGUGCCUGAUUUGGGCUCAUCUUUUGCGGAGUUUCUGCAGAUGUUUUUUUAUUUAAACCACAUUUUAUGAAGGGAAGGAAAGGAGACCCGCGGACGCAGAGGAAGGAGGUGUGUUUCAUGGGAUCACAUUUAUCCCGAGGUGGCUCUGAUGCCAGGAAAGCGCUCACAUCGUUCAUAAUUUGUCUCAUUUGUUCUUCUCUCCAGCUCCCCCCUCAAAAAAAACACCAACAGGAAUUCCUUGCUUCCUCGCCUGCUAAUUAAAUCUCCCUGCCUGCAAUAAACCACGAAGGUCUAUCA